This 2241-nucleotide long non-coding RNA is filed under the name Medicago truncatula (barrel medic). Its description in RNAcentral is "long non-coding RNA (MTRU_LNC001846)". The record is from RNAcentral. Lineage: Eukaryota; Viridiplantae; Streptophyta; Magnoliopsida; Fabales; Fabaceae.
AAAACCUUAUUGAAUGCAAAGAACAAGAUACAAGAUCAUGCUAAGAUUUUACAAUGAAGUGAUGAUGAGAAAUACUAGUAUUACUAACCAAUUCAAAGAUAGAGAGACUCUAAAUUUGUGAAAUUCAUUAGCCACAAGACUUAACUACACCUAAUUCUACAAAACCAUUCAAAUAGACAAAGUAAAACAUAUAAUUUUAGUGUUGAUGGUAGACUAUGACCGUAGUGAUUGGCCACAGGUGGACGUAACCAACUACUCCCUCUGUCUCUGUAUGUAAGUAUCAUUUACCUCUAAUAAAAAAGUGUUUAGAUAUAACGACAGAGGGAGUAUGACUUUAGCCUCCUUUUGAUUUUACAAAUUCCAUGAGUUAUGGUGACAGUUUCUGCCAAGUGUUGCGAAUUUAAAUAGUUUUACGAUGAAUUUCCACAUCCAAUGUAUUGAAAAAGCACUCCAUUACCAUUAUUUGAUUCAUUGGCCAUAAAGAGUUCAUCAAAUUCAUGUCUACCACUAUUUCUUCAUCAAUUCUUCAAAAUCUCUUGACCAUAUCUAUUUAUUGGAAAAUAGAUAAAAAGUAGUAAAGUAAUUCUAAAAGUAUAAUAAAAACUAAUAAUUACUUAAAGACAAAUUCUAUGGUACAUCCAAUAAAUUUGGGUGUAUCGGUACACCAAGUCGUAAAAUUAAUAAUAAAUGAGUUGUUUUUUUGAAGAAAAAUAAUUAUUUUCUAUCAUUGACAACUAAGAUAAUUAAAUUUUAUUUACCAAAAGUUUCGACGAAAUAAAAUUUAAUUUUUAAGAAUUUUUAUUACUCAUAACAAUGAAUAUUGAUUAUUUUUUAUGAGAAAAUGUAAAUUUUUUAAUAUGAUCCUUAUAAACAAUGAAAUGAUUGUUUUUCUUAUGAAAUGAUGUUUUCUAAAAUAUAAAUAUUGACAAAUACCUUUUUAUUUCAUUAAAGUGAUCGUUAAUUUAUAUAUUUUGUGAAACAAGAGUACUGGUACACUCAAAAUUGUAAGUGUACCAUAGAAAUUCUAUGCAUAAAAUACGUAUAAAAAAAUGUCAUCAAACGCCCCAUGCAUGAAACAUUGUUUGUCCUCAAGCAAUUGUUUCGGUAUGAAAUAUUAGGAACAAGCAAACAUAAAAAUUAAUAAGAACAAAAUUCAAAUGCAUGUGUAAGCAUAGGGCAAAGUCAAAAAUCAAGGGAACACCAACUUAAGUUUCAAGUUAGAGUCUUAGGCUCUCUAAGUCACAAAUUCUCAACAAAAAUGGGCACUCACCUCACAAAAUCACUCAUUUUAGAAAAAUGUAAUUGAGUCUCACUAAAUUGUUUAUCAGCGAAUAAGUCCUGCUAUAGGGUUGACAAUAAACCUACUUUUCUACUAUUUCUCUUGUGGAAGCAAACAUGAAUAAAAAAAGCACUCUUUAAAGUGCUUCAUUUUCAUUAUACAUGCUUCACAAGAAAAUAGCUUCAAAAAGGUUACAAGUAAAAUUCUAGAGGAACAUAAAUCAAUGAGAGAUUUCACUCGAAACAUGGAGAAAGGGAGAUAUUUUGAUUUUUUUUUUUUUUGGUUUUGUUCAAGGACAUAUAAUGACUCGAAAUCUCACAUUUAUAGGGCUAACUUCUCAAGCAUGGAGUUGGUUCAUCAGAUAAAAAUUUACUUACCAUCUAUUCACACAUACACAAGAAUUAAAAUUACAAGUAUAUUAUAACAAAAUGUUCAAGCAAAUGAGUAACUUGACUGUAAUAGUCAAAGUAAGAAAAACAAAAGAAAACAUAGAUUAAAGAAGAACAAAAUUAGGUACCCCACUCCAUAUUUGAAUUGGACAUUAUACUCAAUGUUUUAGCAUGAAAAGGUAAAUAAAGUGAAUGAGUAAUAAAAGCUCAAAAGAUUGUUUGAAGAAGGAUGCCUUAUUGAUUGGAUUGCUUCACAUCCUUGAUAUAAAUCUAGAUUUUGUCUUUAUCUCUUGAUGUAGCUUGAAGAUCUGAUCAUGGUUAUUAGUUUUGGGAUUGGUGCAUGGGUGUAGAAAUUAGGAUGAUGGAUGGGUUGUUAUAUGUGGUUUUGGAGAAUAAAAGAAAACAAAAGUAAAGAAAUUAAAAUUUGAGUAUUAUUUUUCUCACCCUAUGCCAUACUCACGCGCUCUGCAAAAAUGAUCAAUAUGCCAUUCGGAUUAUAUAAUUCGGAAAAAUACGAAAUACAUUCCGGAUUACGUAAUCUGAACUUCUUCGGUAUAUAUAAGGAAGUUCACC